RNAcentral lists this ribosomal RNA (267 nucleotides) under uncultured bacterium. Its description in RNAcentral is "partial 16S ribosomal RNA". It matches the Rfam family "Bacterial small subunit ribosomal RNA", at positions 28 to 293 of the family's 1533-position model. The record is from RNAcentral.
GACGAACGCUGGCGGCGUGCUUAACACAUGCAAGUGGAGCGGUAAGGCCCUUUCGGGGGUACACGAGCGGCGAACGGGUGAGUAACACGUGGGUGACCUGCCCUCAGCUCUGGGAUAAGCCUGGGAAACCGGGUCUAAUACUGGAUAUGACUCCAUGACGCAUGUUGUGGGGUGGAAAGCCUUGUGCGGCUGAGGAUGGGCCCGCGGCCUAUCAGCUUUGUUGGGUGGGGUGANGGCCCUACCAAGGCGACGACGGGUAGCCGGCCU